This 332-nucleotide long non-coding RNA is filed under the name Nicotiana benthamiana. RNAcentral describes it as "long non-coding RNA (NBEN_LNC040572)". Lineage: Eukaryota; Viridiplantae; Streptophyta; Magnoliopsida; Solanales; Solanaceae. The record is from RNAcentral.
AAUUUCAGUUUUUCUACUUUAAGCAUUUUCAUCUGAACAUUUUUACUUGAUCAAAAUCAACUCUUUAAACCCUUUUAACCGUUGAUCGAAUUUGUGUGAUUUUGAUAUGGAUAGAAUGGACAAAUUGCGUGUAAUACUACGCAUAAAGAGAGCGAUACUACUAAUUUUGAUUCUUAUAAAAGGAUCCAAAAUCAGAUCAAAAUGAAAAGAAAUAAAGUUAAAAAAAUAAUAAAAAAUAAAAUUAGAAAACCCAAUCUCCUCCCCUCCCCCAUUUAUGCUCUUCCGCAUAGGAGCAGGCAUCAGUCAGUUCUGUUCAGUUAUGAAUAUUAUCG